GACGAACGCUGGCGGCGUGCUUAACACAUGCAAGUCGAACGCUGACGCUCAGCUUUUGUUGGGUGGAUGAGUGGCGAACGGGUGAGUAACACGUGAGUAACCUGCCCCCUUCUUUGGGAUAACGCCCGGAAACGGGUGCUAAUACUGGAUAUUCACUGGUCUUCGCAUGGGGGUUGGUGGAAAGGGUUUUUCUGGUGGGGGAUGGGCUCGCGGCCUAUCAGCUUGUUGGUGGGGUGGUGGCCUAGCAAGGCUUUGACGGGUGGCCGGCCUGAGCGGGUGACCGGCCACAUUGGGACUGAGAUACGGCCCAUACUCCUACGGGAGGCAGCAGGGGGGAUUAUUGCACAAUGGGCGCAAGCCUGAUGCAGCGACGCCGCGUGAGGGAUGGAGGCCUUCGGGUUGUGAACCUCUUUCGCUCAUGGUCAAGCCGCAACAAUGGUUGUGGUGAGGGUAGUGGGUAAAGAAGCGCCGGCUAACUACGUG
Molecule: ribosomal RNA, 483 nt
Filed under: uncultured bacterium
Lineage: Bacteria
Description: partial 16S ribosomal RNA
Rfam family: Bacterial small subunit ribosomal RNA
Source: RNAcentral